GGCGCACAGGCCAUCGAGCUUCUGUUUCUGGGACCUUCUCUUUUCUCUACUUUUCUUUCGGUGUGGCUCUCAUCUUCUGCUGAUUUGGUCCUUGGAGAGGAGUCUUCAGUAGUUCUGCACUGGACGGGAUAUCCGUGGGUGCAGAGAUUCUGGGUCCAGUCGCAUUCUCGGCUGAGGGUGCUGGGAUCUGGACCUAGGAUGGAGGAGCAAGGAAGGACCUGCUGACCGCAGGCAAGAUGUUCAGGUUGGGUAAUCAGCAUGUUUGUCAGCACCUGGCAGCCUCCAGUUGGGUCCAGUGCAGCUAUGAGUGCUCUGCCUUCUUUUGGACCUGGGGUUUCAGUACAUAGAAAGUGCCAUACUGUCCAGUGAAGAGGCUGUGCUGCUAGAUUUAAACAGUGUCUCAAGCUAUUGCUGUAACUUAUCUUCAUUUGCUGGCCGGAAAGACAUUCAGGGAAAGAGGAAGAGAUGGUAGUUUCUUGGGCCUGUAUAUAAACAAGAAAGACAAACAAGCAAACAUGCAGUGGACAUCGCAAGUAGCUGACCAGUGCCAUUCUCCCUCUCUCCCCUACAUGUGUGUGUGAGAGUGAGUGCAUGCUCUUACAUUCAUUCUAUAUAAAACCUACAGCUGAAAACAAUGAAUCCCAUAAAGCAAAAAUUACAGACACAUAUAAGUACUUGCUUCCUUCUUUCCUGUCUGGCUGGAAUUUGUCCCCAGAGCUUUAGAGUUGGCCACGUGUUAAAAAUCCAUAAAUCUCAGUGCUGAGAGCAUAAUGAAGGGAAAAUACAAUUCUGUUGUAGUCAAAGUUGAAUGUGUAUCUGAACGAUUCUUUGUAUUAAUUUCUUUAAGGUCUGUACUUAAUUUCUUGGAAUGCAUUUAAAAUAA
This is a long non-coding RNA of Erinaceus europaeus (western European hedgehog), 883 nucleotides long. RefSeq lists it as uncharacterized. NCBI's taxonomy places the organism in Eukaryota, Metazoa, Chordata, Mammalia, Eulipotyphla, Erinaceidae. The transcript is spliced from 4 exons. The record is from RefSeq and is a predicted model, not a curated record.